UUCACAUAUUCGGCAAAGGAUCCCGGCUGUAAGGCUCCAAUAACAUGCAAGCUUUCACAUUGGGACAAAAUCCCUUUUUUGCAGCUUUCACAUUUACCGCAAUAUAAAGCAGGACA
RNAcentral lists this antisense RNA (116 nucleotides) under Aeribacillus pallidus. RNAcentral describes it as "Listeria sRNA rli30". It matches the Rfam family "Listeria sRNA rli30". From Rfam's summary of the family: Coevolved with internalin gene lmo2445. Paired with CDS partners lmo0501 and lmo0508. Antisense to lmo0506. The record is from Rfam by way of RNAcentral. Lineage: Bacteria; Bacillati; Bacillota; Bacilli; Caryophanales; Bacillaceae.